CCAGGUCAGGCGGGGCUACCCGCUGAGUUUAAGCAUAUCAAUAAG
This 45-nucleotide ribosomal RNA is filed under the name Hoya mitrata. Its description in RNAcentral is "partial 26S ribosomal RNA". Lineage: Eukaryota; Viridiplantae; Streptophyta; Magnoliopsida; Gentianales; Apocynaceae. The record is from RNAcentral.